UUUUAGAAUUAAAUUUAAAGUCUAACCUGCCCACUGAAAUUUUUAAAUGGCCGCAGUAUUUUAACUGUGCAAAGGUAGCAUAAUCAUUAGUCUUUUAAUUGGAGGCUGGAAUGAAUGGUUGGACGAAAUAUUAACUGUUUCAUUUAAAUUUUUAUAGAAUUUUAUUUUUUAGUUAAAAAGCUAAAAUUAAUUUAAAAGACGAGAAGACCCUAUAAAUCUUUAUAUUUUAUUUAUUUUAAUUAAAAAGAUUAUUUUUAUUAAAAUAAAUAAAAAUAUUUUAUUGGGGUGAUAUUAAAAUUUAAAUAACUUUUAAUUUUAAAAUUCAUUAAUUUAUGAAAUAUUGAUCCAUUAUUAAUGAUUAAAAAUUUAAGUUACUUUAGGGAUAACAGCGUAAUUUUUUUGGAGAGUUCAUAUCGAUAAAAAAGAUUGCGACCUCGAUGUUGGAUUAAGAUAUAAUUUUGGGUGUAGCUGUUCAAAUUUUAAGUCUGUUCGACUUUUAAAUUCUU
Molecule: ribosomal RNA, 506 nt
Filed under: Scaptomyza magnipalpa
Lineage: Eukaryota; Metazoa; Arthropoda; Insecta; Diptera; Drosophilidae
Description: partial 16S ribosomal RNA
Rfam family: Bacterial large subunit ribosomal RNA
Source: RNAcentral